RNAcentral lists this ribosomal RNA (432 nucleotides) under uncultured bacterium. RNAcentral describes it as "partial 16S ribosomal RNA". It matches the Rfam family "Bacterial small subunit ribosomal RNA", at positions 29 to 507 of the family's 1533-position model. The record is from RNAcentral.
ACGAACGCUGGCGGCAUGCCUAACACAUGCAAGUCGAACGAGACCUUCGGGUCUAGUGGCGCACGGGUGCGUAACGCGUGGGAACCUGCCCUUAGGUUCGGAAUAACUCCCCGAAAGGGGUGCUAAUACCGGAUAAUGUCUUCGGACCAAAGAUUUAUCGCCUUUGGAUGGGCCCGCGUUGGAUUAGCUAGUUGGUAGGGUAAAAGCCUACCAAGGCGACGAUCCAUAGCUGGUCUGAGAGGAUGAUCAGCCACACUGGGACUGAGACACGGCCCAGACUCCUACGGGAGGCAGCAGUGGGGAGUAUUGGACAAUGGGCGAAAGCCUGAUCCAGCAAUGCCGCGUGAGUGAUGAAGGCCUUAGGGUUGUAAAGCUCUUUUACCCGGGAUGAUAAUGACAGUACCGGGAGAAUAAGCUCCGGCUAACUCCGUG